UGGGGAAUAUUGCACAAUGGGGGAAACCCUGAUGCAGCGACGCAGCGUGCGGGAUGACGGCCUUCGGGUUGUAAACCGCUUUCAGCAGGGAAGAAGCGAAAGUGACGGUACCUGCAGAAGAAGUACCGGCUAACUACGUGCCAGCAGCCGCGGUAAUACGUAGGGUACGAGCGUUGUCCGGAAUUAUUGGGCGUAAAGAGCUCGUAGGUGGUUGGUCACGUCUGCUGUGGAAACGCAACGCUUAACGUUGCGCGUGCAGUGGGUACGGGCUGACUAGAGUGCAGUAGGGGAGUCUGGAAUUCCUGGUGUAGCGGUGAAAUGCGCAGAUAUCAGGAGGAACGCCGGUGGCGAAGGCGGGACUCUGGGCUGAAACUGACACUGAGGAGCGAAAGCAUGGGGAGCGAACAGG
This 409-nucleotide ribosomal RNA is filed under the name Bacillota bacterium. RNAcentral describes it as "Firmicutes bacterium partial 16S ribosomal RNA". It matches the Rfam family "Bacterial small subunit ribosomal RNA", at positions 355 to 776 of the family's 1533-position model. The record is from RNAcentral. Lineage: Bacteria; Bacillati; Bacillota.